UACGUAGGGUGCAAGCGUUGUCCGGAAUUAUUGGGCGUAAAGAGCUCGUAGGCGGUGUGUCGCGCCGGCUGUGAAAACCUGGGGCUCAACCCUGGGCUUGCAGCUGAUACGGGCAGACUGGAGUUCGGCAGGGGAGACUGGAAUUCCUGGUGUAGCGGUGAAAUGCGCAGAUAUCAGGAGGAACACCGGUGGCGAAGGCGGGUCUCUGGGCCGAUACUGACGCUGAGGAGCGAAAGCGUGGGGAGCGAACAGG
RNAcentral lists this ribosomal RNA (253 nucleotides) under uncultured bacterium. Its description in RNAcentral is "partial 16S ribosomal RNA". It matches the Rfam family "Bacterial small subunit ribosomal RNA", at positions 524 to 776 of the family's 1533-position model. The record is from RNAcentral.